Molecule: ribosomal RNA, 1507 nt
Filed under: Escherichia coli O111:H-
Lineage: Bacteria; Pseudomonadati; Pseudomonadota; Gammaproteobacteria; Enterobacterales; Enterobacteriaceae
Description: bacterial SSU rRNA
Rfam family: Bacterial small subunit ribosomal RNA
Source: RNAcentral
AGAGUUUGAUCCUGGCUCAGAUUGAACGCUGGCGGCAGGCCUAACACAUGCAAGUCGAACGGUAACAGGAAGAAGCUUGCUUCUUUGCUGACGAGUGGCGGACGGGUGAGUAAUGUCUGGGAAACUGCCUGAUGGAGGGGGAUAACUACUGGAAACGGUAGCUAAUACCGCAUAACGUCGCAAGACCAAAGAGGGGGACCUUCGGGCCUCUUGCCAUCGGAUGUGCCCAGAUGGGAUUAGCUUGUUGGUGGGGUAACGGCUCACCAAGGCGACGAUCCCUAGCUGGUCUGAGAGGAUGACCAGCCACACUGGAACUGAGACACGGUCCAGACUCCUACGGGAGGCAGCAGUGGGGAAUAUUGCACAAUGGGCGCAAGCCUGAUGCAGCCAUGCCGCGUGUAUGAAGAAGGCCUUCGGGUUGUAAAGUACUUUCAGCGGGGAGGAAGGGAGUAAAGUUAAUACCUUUGCUCAUUGACGUUACCCGCAGAAGAAGCACCGGCUAACUCCGUGCCAGCAGCCGCGGUAAUACGGAGGGUGCAAGCGUUAAUCGGAAUUACUGGGCGUAAAGCGCACGCAGGCGGUUUGUUAAGUCAGAUGUGAAAUCCCCGGGCUCAACCCGGGAACUGCAUCUGAUACUGGCAAGCUUGAGUCUCGUAGAGGGGGGUAGAAUUCCAGGUGUAGCGGUGAAAUGCGUAGAGAUCUGGAGGAAUACCGGUGGCGAAGGCGGCCCCCUGGACGAAGACUGACGCUCAGGUGCGAAAGCGUGGGGAGCAAACAGGAUUAGAUACCCUGGUAGUCCACGCCGUAAACGAUGUCGACUUGGAGGUUGUGCCCUUGAGGCGUGGCUUCCGGAGCUAACGCGUUAAGUCGACCGCCUGGGGAGUACGGCCGCAAGGUUAAAACUCAAAUGAAUUGACGGGGGCCCGCACAAGCGGUGGAGCAUGUGGUUUAAUUCGAUGCAACGCGAAGAACCUUACCUGGUCUUGACAUCCACAGAACUUUCCAGAGAUGGAUUGGUGCCUUCGGGAACCGUGAGACAGGUGCUGCAUGGCUGUCGUCAGCUCGUGUUGUGAAAUGUUGGGUUAAGUCCCGCAACGAGCGCAACCCUUAUCCUUUGUUGCCAGCGGUCCGGCCGGGAACUCAAAGGAGACUGCCAGUGAUAAACUGGAGGAAGGUGGGGAUGACGUCAAGUCAUCAUGGCCCUUACGACCAGGGCUACACACGUGCUACAAUGGCGCAUACAAAGAGAAGCGACCUCGCGAGAGCAAGCGGACCUCAUAAAGUGCGUCGUAGUCCGGAUUGGAGUCUGCAACUCGACUCCAUGAAGUCGGAAUCGCUAGUAAUCGUGGAUCAGAAUGCCACGGUGAAUACGUUCCCGGGCCUUGUACACACCGCCCGUCACACCAUGGGAGUGGGUUGCAAAAGAAGUAGGUAGCUUAACCUUCGGGAGGGCGCUUACCACUUUGUGAUUCAUGACUGGGGUGAAGUCGUAACAAGGUAACCGUAA